RNAcentral lists this transfer RNA (88 nucleotides) under Haloarcula pellucida. Its description in RNAcentral is "Halomicroarcula pellucida tRNA-Gly". Lineage: Archaea; Methanobacteriati; Methanobacteriota; Halobacteria; Halobacteriales; Haloarculaceae. The record is from RNAcentral.
GAGGCGAUCGACGAGGCGCGUCUGUCGGUCACCGGUCGCCGGGUCGUAGGUGAGGUGACACCCGUGUUCUAGCCCCCGAAUCGCCUCG